CCUUCUUUGUGGGGAGGAAGAUGAUUUUCCAUGAAAGGAUAGACAGACUGGCGCUGAUGGGAAUGAGUGCUGGAUGAACAGAGAACUAAGGAAGUGUGGGAGAUCCUGAAAGAACUCAGCAGGAUGAGUCUGUGCGCCUUCUUUGAGAAGCGAGACCCAAAUGAUUUCCCACUGGAAGAAUAACCCUCUGGUCCUCAGGAGGAGCCGAUGACACAUAGACUGCUGCCAGCUCUUCUGACCACGUUCUUGGCCUUGGAUUUGCCAUUCCCAAGGCAGCAGUUCUGAGAGCUGUUCUAGCUCGGGAGAACGUCAGCUUUCUCUUAAAGAAAAGGCCAGCUUCCUACCUCUCCACUUGGAAAUGCACAGUCACCACUUCUGAGGGUGACUGGGUGUUACUGGCUGGAAGCCCAGUUUAGAGCCUGUCAGAUCCUGCUCUCCAGGCCAUGGAUUGAAGGCAAGAGUCCUUCAGGCUCUCCUCUCUAUCCUGAAAAUCCCUUCUCUGAAUACCUCCCCAGACCAGGGAAGA
Molecule: long non-coding RNA, 526 nt
Organism: Pipra filicauda (Wire-tailed manakin)
Lineage: Eukaryota; Metazoa; Chordata; Aves; Passeriformes; Pipridae
Exons: 3
Source: RefSeq, a predicted model, not a curated record